AGAGUUUGAUCCUGGCUCAGGAUGAACGCUGGCGGCGUGCUUAAUACAUGCAAGCCGAACGGAUGUUGUAGCAAUACGAUGUUAGUGGCGAACGGGUGAGUAACGCGUUGGUGACCUGCCCCGAAGUGAGGGAUAACAGCUCGAAAGGGCUGCUAAUACCGCAAGAGAUCCACCUAGUUAGAGAGGGUGGAUGAAAGGAGAAAUCCGCUUUGGGAGGGGCCUGCGUCCCAUCAGCUAGUUGGUGAGGUAAAAGCUCACCAAGGCGACGACGGGUAGGGGGCCUGAGAGGGUGACCCCCCACACUGGCACUGAAACACGGGCCAGACACCUACGGGUGGCAGCAGUAGGGAAUAUUGCACAAUGGGCGAAAGCCUGAUGCAGCAACGCCGCGUGCGCGAUGAAGGCCUUCGGGUUGUAAAGCGCUUUUCGGGGAGACGAGGAAGGACGGUAUCUCCGGAAUAAGGAUCGGCUAACUACGUGCCAGCAGCCGCGGUAAAACGUAGGAUCCGAGCGUUAUCCGAAUUCACUGGGCGUAAAGCGCGUGCAGGCGGCACGGUAAGUUGGAUGUAAAAUCUCCCGGCUCAACUGGGAGAGGACGUUCAAUACUGUCGAGCUCGAGGGCGAUAGAGGGAGGUGGAAUUCCCGGUGUAGUGGUGAAAUGCGUAGAUAUCGGGAGGAACACCAGUGGCGAAAGCGGCCUCCUGGAUCGUACCUGACGCUCAGACGCGAAAGCUAGGGGAGCAAACGGGAUUAGAAACCCCGGUAGUCCUAGCUGUAAACGAUGUAGACUUGGUGUUGGUGGUGUAAAAACCAUCGGUGCCGAAGCAAACGCGAUAAGUCUACCGCCUGGGGACUGCGGCCGCAAGGUUAAAACUCAAAGGAAUUGACGGGGGCCCGCACAAGCAGCGGAGCGUGUGGUUUAAUUCGAUUUACGCGAAAAACCUUACCCGGGUUUGACAUGUAGGUGGUAGGGAAACGAAAGUGGACCGACCCUUCGGGGAGCCUACACAGGUGUUGCAUGGCUGUCGUCAGCUCGUGUCGUGAGAUGUCCGGUUAAGUCCGGUAACGAGCGCAACCCGCGCCGUAUGUUACAAGUGUCAUACGGGACUGCUGGUAUAAAGCCGGAGGAAGGUGCGGACGACGUCAAGUCAGCAUGGCCUUUAUAUCCGGGGCUACACACACGCUACAAUGGCCAGUACAAUGGGUAGCAAAGCCGCAAGGUGGAGCCAAUCCCCAAAGCUGGUCUCAGUUCAGAUUGCAGGCUGCAACUUGCCUGCAUGAAGUCGGAGUUGCUAGUAACCGCGCGUCAGCAUUAGUGCGGUGAAUACGUUCCCGGGCCUUGUACACACCGCCCGUCACGUCAUGGGAGCUGGCAACACCUGAAGCCGGUAUCCUAACCGCAAGGAGGGAGCCGUCGAAAGUGGGGCUGGUGACUGGGACGAAGUCGUAACAAGGUA
This 1457-nucleotide ribosomal RNA is filed under the name metagenome. RNAcentral's name for it is "bacterial SSU rRNA". It matches the Rfam family "Bacterial small subunit ribosomal RNA". The record is from RNAcentral.